This 1083-nucleotide ribosomal RNA is filed under the name bacterium P1C8. RNAcentral's name for it is "bacterial SSU rRNA". It matches the Rfam family "Bacterial small subunit ribosomal RNA", at positions 59 to 1130 of the family's 1533-position model. The record is from RNAcentral.
CAGUCGAGGGGCAGCAUUUUAGUUUGCUUGCAAACUGAAGAUGGCGACCGGCGCACGGGUGAGUAACACGUAUCCAACCUGCCGAUAACUCCGGAAUAGCCUUUCGAAAGAAAGAUUAAUACCGGAUAGCAUACGAAUAUCGCAUGAUAUUUUUAUUAAAGAAUUUCGGUUAUCGAUGGGGAUGCGUUCCAUUAGUUUGUUGGCGGGGUAACGGCCCACCAAGACUACGAUGGAUAGGGGUUCUGAGAGGAAGGUCCCCCACAUUGGAACUGAGACACGGUCCAAACUCCUACGGGAGGCAGCAGUGAGGAAUAUUGGUCAAUGGGCGAGAGCCUGAACCAGCCAAGUAGCGUGAAGGAUGAAGGCUCUAUGGGUCGUAAACUUCUUUUAUAUGGGAAUAAAGUUUUCCACGUGUGGAAUUUUGUAUGUACCAUAUGAAUAAGGAUCGGCUAACUCCGUGCCAGCAGCCGCGGUAAUACGGAGGAUCCGAGCGUUAUCCGGAUUUAUUGGGUUUAAAGGGAGCGUAGGUGGAUUGUUAAGUCAGUUGUGAAAGUUUGCGGCUCAACCGUAAAAUUGCAGUUGAAACUGGCAGUCUUGAGUACAGUAGAGGUGGGCGGAAUUCGUGGUGUAGCGGUGAAAUGCUUAGAUAUCACGAAGAACUCCGAUUGCGAAGGCAGCUCACUAGACUGUCACUGACACUGAUGCUCGAAAGUGUGGGUAUCAAACAGGAUUAGAUACCCUGGUAGUCCACACAGUAAACGAUGAAUACUCGCUGUUUGCGAUAUACAGUAAGCGGCCAAGCGAAAGCAUUAAGUAUUCCACCUGGGGAGUACGCCGGCAACGGUGAAACUCAAAGGAAUUGACGGGGGCCCGCACAAGCGGAGGAACAUGUGGUUUAAUUCGAUGAUACGCGAGGAACCUUACCCGGGCUUAAAUUGCAACAGAAUAUAUUGGAAACAGUAUAGCCGUAAGGCUGUUGUGAAGGUGCUGCAUGGGUUGUCGUCAGCUCGUGCCGUGGAGGUGUCGGCUUAAGUGCCAUAACNNAGCGCAACCCUUUAUCUUUUAGUUACUAACAAGGUCAUG